RNAcentral lists this non-coding RNA (892 nucleotides) under Lubricogobius dinah. RNAcentral describes it as "partial 12S rRNA". It matches the Rfam family "Bacterial small subunit ribosomal RNA", at positions 307 to 1533 of the family's 1533-position model. Lineage: Eukaryota; Metazoa; Chordata; Actinopteri; Gobiiformes; Gobiidae. The record is from RNAcentral.
GCCCCUGUGAGAAUGCCCUAUUAAUACCACUUUAGUGGAAAAUAGGAGUUGGUAUCAGGCACAACAUGAGUUAGCCCAUAACACCUUGCUUAGCCACACCCCCAAGGGACUUCAGCAGUAAUAAAUAUUAAGCCCUAAGUGAAAACUUGACUUAAUUAACAUCAAGAGGGCCGGUCAAACUCGUGCCAGCCACCGCGGUUAUACGAGAGGCCCAAGCUGAGAGUGCCCGGCGUAAAGUGUGAUUAAUAGAUACAUAAAAAUAAAGUCGAACCACUUCAGUGCUGUCACAAGCUUCCGAAAGUGGGAAGCCCAUUAACGAAAGUAACUUUAGAUAUAUGAAUUCACGAAAGCUAAGAAACAAACUGGGAUUAGAUACCCCACUAUGCUUAGCCCUAAACUUAAGUGUUAGAUUACUUUAACCUCGCCAGGAAAUUACGAGCUAAAGCUUAAAACCCAAAGGACUUGGCGGUGCUUUAAACCCCUCUAGAGGAGCCUGUCCUGUAAUCGAUAAUCCCCGUUUAACCUCACCCCCUCUUGCUCUUUCAGCCUAUAUACCGCCGUCGUAAGCCUACCCUGUGAAGGUUUUACAGUAGGCAAAAUCGGCAAAGCCCAGCACGUCAGGUCAAGGUGUAGCCUACGAGGGGGGAAGAGAUGGGCUACAUUUACUGGCUCAGUAAAUACGGAUCUUGUACUGAAACGUACAUUUGAAGGAGGAUUUAGUAGUAAGUAGGGAGCAGAGUGCCCUUCUGAAAAAGGCUCUAAAGCGCGUACACACCGCCCGUCACUCUCUCCUACGAACUCCUAACAAUUAAUUAAAAAGUAAAUGGUAUCAAAUAGGGGAGGCAAGUCGUAACAUGGUAAGUGUACCGGAAGGUGUACUUGGAAAAUUUUC